Molecule: long non-coding RNA, 1020 nt
Filed under: Gouania willdenowi (blunt-snouted clingfish)
Lineage: Eukaryota; Metazoa; Chordata; Actinopteri; Blenniiformes; Gobiesocidae
Description: lncRNA (ENSGWIG00000018429.1)
Source: RNAcentral
AUGCUCAACGUGUUUCCCUUCCCCAUCUAUUCAUGUAUUUUAUUUUAUUCUCUGUUGAUGGCUGGGCCGCCGUGUGGGGAUCGGGAGGGUGCGGUCGGGCGUGGCGGGGCAGUGGGUCUCUGGGGGGUGUGGGGGGUGUUGCUGGGGGCUCUCUUUGCGGGGUCUCUCCGGGCGGUGCUGGCCUGGUGGGGCGUGAGGGUGCCCCUUCCCUACGGGUGGGGCUUGGUGCUCGUCUCAUCUCCUGGUUGCCUUGGGGGCGUGCCUCGCGGCGUGUGGGUCUGGGGUGGCCUGCCACGCCAGUGUAGGGGGUGGGCGCGCUGGGGGCUGCUGGCCUCUGCGCCGGGGUUGGAGCGAGGUUGCUUGGCGCUCCGGGAUGGUGCUCUUUGCUGGAGGGUGGCUCUAGCUGUUCCGGUGGUUGAGGUCGGCAUCGGCCGCUUGGUAGGUCUGUCCUGCUAUCGUGCCCUACCAUGCCUGUGGGUGUGGCUGGGCCCUUUGGUGGGGGGGUGGGGGGGCUGUCUAGGGCUCAUUGUGCGGGCGGCAUCAAGGAAAAGUGAUCUGGCGCACUCUGGGGUGCUUGGUCGGUGUGCCUGGGGGCCGGCGGGGCAACUUGCAGCAUCCCCUUGGUGCCCUCGGCGACUAUGGGCGUGGUUGCCGUCCCUGGGGGCGCUGCUCUUGGUGCUGCUUCCGUUCCGGGUCCUUCUGGCCUGGGGUCUGGUCCCUGCUGGCUCUGGGCCCGCCGGCGUGGGUCUGGCCCUCUGCUGGGCGUGGGCCUUGGCUCCGCUGCUGGGGCGGGAUGCCCUGGGUGCUCGGCUGCUUGGGGCUUCCUCGGAUGUGUGUGUGGGGGGCGGUGGUUGCCUCUCAGCCUGGGAUCUUGGGGGCGUCUGGGGGGUUGCUCGGCCGUGGGGGGGUGGCCUGGGGCUCCCUGGCCCCCACUCUUUCUGCUGGCCUGGCUGCAUCUGUGGGGCCGGGGCCGUUCCUGGGUUUGCGGUAGCGGUUUUUUGCACAUAUACUGGUAUAUGA